CAGACCUCAUGAUCCACCCACCUUGGCCUCACAAAGUGCUGGGAUGACAGGCGUGAGCCACCACGCCCGGCCGGUCCUGCUUUCUAGAAAAAACUGUAGUGCGCGCUCCAGAGACCUAACCCGUUCCCACACCUGAGUGGGCAACUCUAGCCUUUGAACACAGCCCUAGGAAAUGACUGCAAACGAGGGGGAAGCUUUUUAAAUACAAGGAAAAAGGCAUUUGUACCAAGCUACAUCGCAGUGAAAUUAUCAUUGGAAAACAGUGGAAAGAGGCCGGGUGUCCCCCCACGGGUCAGGCGCAGUCCCAGGGAGGUCUAGACCCCAAGAGCAGAGAGGCCUACGGGAGACACGGCUUGUGCCAGGAGGUGGGGUACGCGGCCACCAGGCACUCUAGUUACACAGCGAUGGGCUGAAGGCUGUGCAUCCCGCAGGGAGUGAGCCCUCCGACCCUGGAGGAGUUCAAGUAGCUGCUUGUCAGGAUGCAGGGACAGGAGGGGCACCAUUGCAGCCGAUGCCUGAGAGAGCCAGAGGCUGCCGGCAUCCAGCAGCAGAGAGGCCGGGCCUGGAAUGGACCCCCAGAAGCUGGCCAGAGGCCUGGCAGUCGGGAAAGGCUCGGUCGUCCUGGGGAGGGAGCAGCACCAGCAGAGGCCCCGCCUGGGUCUUCAUCAGAGACACCCCGAGCUGGUGGGGGAUUCCUGGGACAGUGUCACCCCCGGCAGGCCCCAGGUGCCCACCGCCCACCGGGCCACAGUGGGAGCAGCUCGGGUCAGGGAGGCCGGGCUGAAUGCGAACCACUGCUGAGGAGACAAACGCGGCGCCACGAGCAGGUCAGGAGAGAACUCCCUCCCACGGGCCGUCCUCGGACCGUGGCGUCAGCCAGCAGGUCCUGAACCACAGACGAGGCUGUCCCGGGUGUGAAAGAGGGUCUCUGCCUCCGGGUGGAGGCCGGUCCCACGCUGUGGACUGAGCUGCAUCCCUCAGAUGCGUCUGUUGCAGCCCUAACCCCGGUGUGAGGGGACGUGGAGGUGGGGCCUCAGGGGUGGUGAGGGUUAGACGGGGUCAGGAGGGAGGAGACGCAAACGGAAUUGGCCGGACCUUGAUCUGAGACCCGCAGCCUCGAGAACCUGCGGAGAACGCUGGAGCUGCCCUGGGUGUGAUUCUUGUUACGUCUCCCCGAGCUGGCUGAGACGUACGGCUCCACUCCACCGGCCUGUGCCCAGAGACCCCGGGGUACAGGAGGAGGAUGCCGCAGAGGUGCGUGUUGAUGAGUGGGUCGCACCAGGGCGGAGCCUCCUAGAAGGGCAGGGACGCACCAUCCUUGGGGAGCGGCCUGGAGAGGCCUCAGGAAGGGGGUCCAGGGUGGCUGAGCCUCAGCCAUCACCCCAUGCCGUCCAGCCCUGCAAGCACAUGCUGUGCCUUGGACCUGCCUUCUGAUGGGGCCCGGGGCGCCCGUGGGGUCCCAGUCCCCGUGGGAGCAUCUCACUUUCCCUUCUGUGGUGCUGCUGGUGGCCAGGAGACCAUAUGUCCCAGCCAUAGUGGCAGAUGCUCUCCAGGCCGGCUAGGGGACACCGGCCCUCAUGGCAGGUGAGGAGGCAGUGCACUGUUUUGGGGGCUCUGAAGCCCGGCCUGGCCGACUUGAAGUGUCCAGGGCCCACCACCUCCCUCCUGGUUGAGGAGUUUCUGGGAGAAUGGUCAAAUCCCCAAUGUAUCAACUCAGCUUUAUCUCCAAAACCUACCACUUCCCAGAGAACAAAAUUAAAGAAGAUUUCACAGA
RNAcentral lists this long non-coding RNA (1774 nucleotides) under Pan troglodytes (chimpanzee). Its description in RNAcentral is "lincRNA". Lineage: Eukaryota; Metazoa; Chordata; Mammalia; Primates; Hominidae. The record is from RNAcentral.